GCCGGGAUGGCGGAAGUGGUAGACGCACGGGACUUAAAAUCCUGCGAACGUAAAGUUCGUGCGGGUUCAAUUCCCGCUCUCGGCACCA
This 88-nucleotide transfer RNA is filed under the name Synergistaceae bacterium OttesenSCG-928-D05. Its description in RNAcentral is "tRNA-Leu". It matches the Rfam family "tRNA". From Rfam's summary of the family: Transfer RNA (tRNA) molecules are approximately 80 nucleotides in length. Their secondary structure includes four short double-helical elements and three loops (D, anti-codon, and T loops). Further hydrogen bonds mediate the characteristic L-shaped molecular structure. tRNAs have two regions of fundamental functional importance: the anti-codon, which is responsible for specific mRNA codon recognition, and the 3' end, to which the tRNAs corresponding amino acid is attached (by aminoacyl-tRNA synthetases). tRNAs cope with the degeneracy of the genetic code in two manners: having more than one tRNA (with a specific anti-codon) for a particular amino acid; and 'wobble' base-pairing, i.e. permitting non-standard base-pairing at the 3rd anti-codon position. Lineage: Bacteria; Thermotogati; Synergistota; Synergistia; Synergistales; Synergistaceae. The record is from RNAcentral.